Molecule: RNA transcript, 2175 nt
Organism: Arabidopsis lyrata subsp. lyrata
Lineage: Eukaryota; Viridiplantae; Streptophyta; Magnoliopsida; Brassicales; Brassicaceae
Exons: 3
Source: RefSeq, a predicted model, not a curated record
GGCAAUGCUUGGUCUCAUCCCUUCUAUUCAAUUUUGUUCUCCCAUUCUCUCUAAACGUUUCUAUAAGGGUAUUUGGGUUCUUGUUGGUAUGAGAGAGCUGUUGCUUCUCAUGCUUAUUCUCAAGUAUACACAGCCCAUAUUGGUGUGUAUUACUCUUCCUUUACCUCAAGAAUAGCUCACGUUGAGUUAGUCUCUUGAUGGAUUUACACAUGAACACACAAACCCGUUUUUGGUGUUCUUGUGAUUCUCGUUGGAGUGAAGCAAGAGCUGCUCACUCUCAUUCGUCCUAGGCUCAUAACCUAGGCCUCUAUUCCGCAUAUAUUCUAACACCUAGUAGUUCAACCGCUGGUGAAAAAGAAUCUCAAGAUGGAGAGACCAAAAAGAGGAGAACAACUGUUGAUGAUGAAUGUAAUAAGAGGAUAAAGGAGAACGCAGAGGAUUACACUCAGCUCCAGAAAAAGAUGGAUGAAAUGGAAAAGCCUAUAGAUGACAAGCUUAAGCAACACGAGGAAUUCAUGCAUGAUGUUAAACCCACGCAUGUUCAACAGCCUGAUUCCUGCAGUGAUCACAUGAAUAUGACCAUGAAGAAGGUCCAAGGGAAGAUAACAAAUACAGAGGACGAAUUUCUCUCCUUGUUGAGAAACGAGACGAUAUAUCACACUCUUGUGGAUGUUUCAAGGCAAGCUGCUGAAAUCCAGAAUGUUACAGAAAGAUGGAACGAUAUGCCACCUGCGUUGAAGACAAUUCGAGACGCCAUAUUUGAUAAAGGUCGGAUGUUAAUUGCGAAAGAAGCGCAACAACGACAGAGCCAAGAACUUGAAGCGAAGAUUCUUUCAAUACGUGAAAUUGAAGCCCUAGGGAUAGGGAUUGCUGAACUUCAUCAACGCAAGGGGAAUCUCACUUUAGAGGCAUCGGAUUUGGGAAAAAAAUCUGAGGAUUCUCAGCAGCAAUUAAACACACUUCAGGAACAGAAUACGAAAAGACUACACGGUCACUUAGUUUUAAUGAACCAGCUUGAGGAAAAGAAGAGUGAGUUGGAAUCGAUAAAGGAUCAGUCAGCGUCUACUACACGAAAAUUGCGUAGGAAGCAAAAGAAACUCGACUCUGUUGUUAAAGAUGUGAGGUGGAUAGAGGAUCAAAUCAUCGAAAAAGAGGAGGAGGAAAGGGAGGUUAAAGAAAGUUAUGAACGAGGAAAAACUGACCUGAUCCGAAUAAAAACAGAGCUGGAUUACUAUAAGCAGCACUCAUAACAGAUACGGAAGAAAAUCAACGACGACCUCCUUGCACUCAACGAGGCGAACAAGUUGAUCGUCGAUAUUUCUACACAAUUCUGAUUUAUGCUCGGGAUUACUUUCUUCCUGUCAUUAAUGCUCGUUUAAACCAUGAAAGCUCUGGCUAUGUUAUGCUUAACAUAGAUGAGCUCAAGAGCCAAAAAGUGUCUGUUUCCAGCAAAAUUGGGUUUGAACAUAUGGGGACUGCUAAGGAAGGGAACAUAGUGAGGAUCGGUGAUGAACACUCGUUUCGAUUGCUCAUAAGUAGAUUGGAGUUUUGGUUAUACUACAUUGCGUAUUUCUGUGGUGGCACUAUUGGCCUUGUUUAUAGCAACAAUUUGGGACAGAUUGCUCAGUCUUUGGGACCAAACUCUACAACCCUCGUCACAAUCUACUCUUCAUUCUCCUUCUUCGGUCGAUUGCUCUCUGCCGCACCAGAUUUUAUGCACAAGAGAUUUCGUUUGACAAGAACCGGCUGGUUUGCAAUUGCACUCUUACCAACUCCAAUCGCUUUCUUUUUACUAGCGAUAUCAUCCUCACAACAAAUAGCAUUACAAACCGCAACCGCCUUAAUCGGUCUGAGCUCAGGUUUCAUAUUCGCAGCUGCAGUCUCCAUAACAUCUGAUCUCUUUGGACCCAAUAGCGUAGGUGUUAACCACAACAUUCUCAUCACAAACAUACCAAUCGGCUCACUCCUAGGAGGAAAGGGAGGUGUAUGAUGACAUAUAUCGAGCAUCUUACUUGACUGUGCAUAACUCCAGCCUUUUUAUGUCACUACGUACACUAUGGAAAGACCUCCAUGAUAACUUUUCUUGUAGACUUGUAGUAUCAUAUGAUUUAUAACUUUUAUCUCAGUACUAGGUAUUACUUGUCAUUAUAAGUUGCUUCGGUUCGGUUUCGGUAA